GCACAUUUGUGUUGGCAGAUCGGAACCAUGUUUUUUAUUCAUAUAAUUGUCAUUCUUGGUUAAGCUAUUGCAGUGUUUGGGCCAUAAUCACUCCUCCCAUUGAUUACUGGUUUGAGCUGUUGUGAAAUUGUGUGGAUGAUGAUGACCUUUCUCGGCUUUGCAUUUUUUGUCUUAAUAUUCUUCCCUAUAAUAUAUAUAUUUUUUAUGGUAAAAAAAAUAAACUAAUCCUUCAAUUUUAUUGGAAACUGUAGUAAUUUCACUUUAUCUGUUACAGAAGCAGCAAUAGCUAGAUUGACGAAGCCUGUUGAAUAUUUUCUUUUCAAAAUUAUUUGCUAAGGUAUGAUGAAGCUUCAUUUCUGUAAUUAAGGUCCAAUAUCUUAUUUUAUUAAUUUUUUUAAUCAAUUUCUGCAAUAAAAUUUUAAUAUGCAAUCCAUUAGAAAUAUGUUUGUGUUUUUUUGAAAGAGACAAGUCCCUGUUACUUGAAAUAUUCGUGUUCUUUAUCAAAUACAUAGAGCUGAAGCAUCCACAACAAAUACAUAAUCAAAUGCUAAACCUAAUUUGAAUGUGCAGCAAAAGAGAGAGAAUUUUAGAUAAAGUUGUAUUUUCAAGUAAAUUUAUAUAAAGAAACAAAGAAAAGCAUUCAAAAAAAAAUAAAAAGUCUAAAAUCAACCAUCAAACAUCACAAGUUUCAGCUUCACAUUAUUACAUGACUUCUAUUUAAAACUUAAAUGGUCAGAAAAAUUAAAGUACAAUGACAACAACUAACAUCCCAAGUAACAAGAUAAAGAUCAGAUCCUGUUUUUCAGUCUAAGAGUUUUCUUGUGUUGGAACUAAGAACAAAGAUGAAUGAAAAAUAACAGAAGCUUGAGCUUGAAGGCUCGAUGGCUUGCUGAGCAAACAAAACAGAAUCGGGCUUGAAAGACAAGAGAAAACAAGAAAAGAGAGUUUUUUAUGAUGAAUCUUUGAUGAAUUUUUCAUUAACUUGAAAGAUGGCAUAUUGCCAAUACAUAUACCAGACAUAAGCUGGUCAAGAUGAAACAAAGUUACCUAAACAUCUACCUAACUCCACUGAGUAGCAUUGUAACUUGUUAAACAAAACUUGCACACUUGGUAAAGCUGAUUUAUCAGCUCAAACAUCAACAAAUUACAUCAAGUACAUUAACAAACUAGUUCUAAUCUAACUAAGUUACUAUCAUUUGAAACUAACAAAAUGAACAGCAGCAUGAACUUCAGCUGCAACUGCUUGGCUCGGGCAACUUCUCUGCUUCUUGUCUGCAUGCAGGCCAGCUUCAACAGUUUCAUUUUUUCUUCUAAAGUUGUAUAUUUGAAAAGCGUCUAAAACAAAAUUGAUAGUUAAAAAGGAAUGAAUUAUUGAAAUCCUGUGUACAAUAGAAAGGGUAGCAUAAAGGUAUUAGGGUGAAUUUGUUGCCAUACUAAAAUUUUUAGGGGAUAUUGUUCCUGAUUCAGGAUUUUGAUGAUCCAUUUGGCGAUAAUCCUUUUAAAGCUGUCCCUUCAACUGACUCUGCUCCAGCUGUACAACAAAUUUCCACUUCCAUGCCUACUUUCCAGCCUGCUACAAACCAAAAUGAAGUAGCUCCUCAGCCACCUUCUGCAAGUUCCAAGACAGUCACAAAUUUUGACUUUGGGAACUCAUUCUCUGCAAAUGCUUAUUCUGCACCCAAUGGCGCAAACUCCCAGUUUCUUCCUCAAGAAAUGUCAACUCAAAAUCGGGGAACUGCUUAUAGCCAAACAAUACAGCCAGGUAUCUAUGGUCAACAGGCACAAUCAAGUGCUAAUAUGUACAGCCAACCGACACAGCCAAGUGCUAAUCCAUAUGGCCAACCUGCACAGCCUGGUGCUAACGCAUAUGACCAAGUUGGACAACCUAGUUCUAAUGCAUAUAGCCAAUCUGUGCAGCCGAGUGUUAAUCCUUAUAGCCAACCGCCACAGCCAGGUGCUAAUCCCUACAGCCAACCUGCACGGUUUAACUCUGGGAACCUAUCACGGCAGGGUUCUCUUGUUCCAGUUUCUUCACAGGGUGCUCACCAGAUCACAAAUUCACCCGCUGUACAAAAUAAUAAUGAUUUCCUAAGUGGCUUAAUUUCAGAACCAGGGUCAAAGCCAGCACAGACGGUCACUCCCACAUCAAUGGGAGCACUUGCUAUAGUUCCACAACCCUCAAAGGAUAAAUUCGAGCUUAAGUCGGCGGUUUGGGCUGAUACAUUAGGCAGAGGAUUGGUGAAUUUGAACAUAUCUGGACGUAAGUAAACAUUCUUCUUCUCUAAAAAUUGUCAUCAAGUAUGUCCUUUCUGCAUGAUCUAACUUUAUUGUUUUCGGUAUGCAGCAAAAACAAAUCCGUUGGCUGAUAUUGGAGUCGACUUUGAUGCUCUAAAUCGUACUAUAUCUUUAUAAAUUUAAAAAAAUUAAAUCAAUUUUUUCUAAUUUUUUAGGGAAUAAAAUACAAUUUUAUCAUAUAUUAGUUUAAGGAAUUAUUUUAAGGAAAUUGAUCGGUUUAGAAUGUGUUACAAUGGUUAGUUUAAGGAAAUUACGCUGAUUAAUUCCCUUUUUUAUUUCUGAAAGUCCACUUAAUUUCUUUUUUUAGUAAGGGCCAUUAAUAUUUUUGCUAUCCACAAUAUUAUUUUGAUUGAUAUUAUUAGCAACAAUUAUGUAGUGGAUAAUAGCUUUUUAGACGUACGACUCAUCCACUUUUUAUUUGUGAAGGGUUGGCAAGUAAAUUUCGAUAUAUUCUAAGGGAAUAAAAUAAGAUUACGAAUUAUAUGACAAAAAUAGCUACUGGAGAUUUAAAUACAAUUUACACUUUUAAAGAGCCUCCAACGAGUGUUCCAAUAUUAUUGUUGGUUGAUCUUCAAGAACUCGUAAUCAUGAGACUUUCUCAUUAGAGUUACGUUGAAAAGUUGAUUUCUGCUAUUUUUUUACCAAAAGAAAAAUAUUUUUGGUACCCAUAUAGAUAAACUAGGUGUUAAAAAGACGGGUAUCAUUUAAGAUGUUGAAGCCACCCGUUUUUUUAAGGUGAAAGGUUUUAUAACGUUAAGGAUUGAAAUGGGCCUAAAAAAAUAUUUAAAGACCAAAAUGAGAAAAACGAUAUAAUUUAAGGACAAAAAAUUAAUUUUUUUUAUUUCCCCCCUUUUUUUGUAAUUACAACCUUAAAAAUUCCAUUUUUAGAAAAACAAACCUACAUGCUCUUUCGUUUCUAAUUGAAAUAAUUAAUUUUUAACUUUUUAAACUAACUAAUAACAUUGUAAAAAUAUACGAUCAAAUUAUGUUAAAAAGUAAAGUUUUUAAACUAAAAAUGAGAAAAAGCAUAGUAGAGGGACUAAACCCUAUAUUGGACCCCUUUUUAUAAUGUAAAUUAGGAGAUUUGGUAGCAAGUGUCUAUGACCUCUCAAGUUCCAGAAUGGGCUGCAUAGAGCAGCAAUAGGAGCUUCAACUCUCUAACAGGUUCUGAUGCUUCUAUUAAAACAUGGUUUAAAGAACACAGAAAUCAGGAAAUUAGAGUUUGAAUAAUCAAAUGUUCACACAAAUUCCAACUUAAAACAUGCUACCCUUACAUUUCAACUUCAAAUACGAAACUCUAGUUUGGAUAAUAAUUACAAUCAGCAUUACAUGUAAUAAAAUACUGUGUUCUCCGCCAAAGAAAAGUGGUAGUUUUGGAGAAUAUUCACCUCAACGCCACCUUAGUCCUCCCAAUCUGAAGUGAAAUUGUUGUCGUGGACACCUAAAAUGGACAAUGAAGUUACAUCCAGUAUAUUCCAAAGCCAAAUCUAAACAGGGCUCACCACACUCACUGCAGUUCGGAUAGUAAUAAAUCUUCUUAACAAUAGUGGCAGGAUGCUCAUGAAUGUCCUCACAGACUUUAAUGAUACUCCCGAGUUUGAGAAAUGCAUAUUUACCAACAACACAAUUGACAUGAGCAGAAGUAUCACAUGUUGCACAAUGAUAAAACCAAAGGUUUGGGUCUCGACUUUCUUCACAAACAUCACAAAAAUGACUUUCAGAAUAAUUGUUAUCAUCAUGAUAAGUGACUGAAAGAAGAUGUUUAUCAUUUUUGGGUUGGGAUGUAAUAGGCAACGAAAAACACCUAUGAUGUAAAGAAAAAUCACAAUCCUUACAACGUGUCAAACACUAUACUAUUGCAUAAGAACAGAGAACAAAUUGAUAAAGAUGAAUUUACUAAGAGAAUUGUUUAGUAUUCUUUAUCUACUUGAAUCAAUACACUGCUAGUGUUUAUAUAUUUGUUUUCUUGAGUAACUGCUGCUAACCAACUAUAUACUAGACUAAGUAACAGAAUGAUCUAACAGACUAACAACCUCUAUACUUUAACAUUCACCCAGCUUCUAAAUAGGUAAAAUCCGAAGUAAACUUCGAAAUCGAGCAAAAAUAGAGACAGACAAUGGUUUUGUGAGAAUAUAAUAGUUAACCCAAAUUAAAAUGUAACUUGAGACAAAUAAAAAUAAGUUAACCCAACUCGCCAUGACCUCCUCUCAAAGCUUGACUUCAAAUUUUUUAAGCUUUGGUUAGUGGGGUUAAAUUUCACCCUCCAAUUUCCCUUGAAUUGAUACAACAACAAAUUCUGAUAAAUUGCACCACAAGGCAUCCUAUGAUUGGUCCAUAUAGCAAGUAAUGUCAAAUUUUGAUAGAAGUAUCACAUUGAUUGACAAAAUUAAAGUUCAAGUAUUAAAUUUGAUAUUUUGAAAGUAGAAUCACCAUUAGAAGAUUCGAUAAAUUACAAGAAGCAUUUUAGUCAUUUUCCCAUAUGUAAUAUGAUUUAUCUAAACAUGUACUGUCUAAUUCAAGUAAUAUAAUGCAGUUUUUUUGCAGUGUUUGGUUUUUCAUACUUGUAUCCUAUCAUUGUGAGUAUGUAUAUAUAUUUGGUAGGUCCCUUUAUUAUAGGAAUCGGAUCAAAUUAAUAUCUCUACUAUUACAUCGGUUAAUUUAGUCCCUAUAUUAUUACAAAGAAUUAAGUAAGAUCAAUUUUCAAAAGAGUUAAUAUUUACUAUUUAAAAAAUGUUUUUUUUUUUAUGAUUUUGUAGAUAAAAUGUUUUAUUUGGAGUUGAUUUGUAGAUGAAAAAAUAAUUUCUAUGAUAAUUUUCGAACCGUAAAUAUUGACUCUUUUCCACUUUAGUCUUAUUGGGUGCAUUCCACUUUCUAACGAUUUUUGUAAUUAACUUCGGUAAUUUUUCUUGGUCUCUUAUGGCAUUUGUAAUUAAUUGCAUUAAGCUCAGAUCUCUUAUUUCUUCUAACAAUUUUUGUAAUAAAAUUAUAAGAUGUAAAAUCAUACGAUAAGAUUGUUAUGCACAAAUAUGACUAAAAGACUUAUUUUGUGUGUUUUCUAGUUUGAAGGAGACAUGUACUUGUUGAAACACACCAACCUGAAACAUUCUUGUCCUUUUAUGAAAUAAAAGAUAACCAAUGUAGUGCAAUUAGAAUACAUAGAGCUGAAGCAUUCACAACAAUUACAUAAUUAAAUACUAAAUGUAAUUUAAAUGUGAAUCUAAGAAUGAGAGAAAAAUGAUCUAAAAAAAUGAGUUUUUAAAUGAACUUAUAUAAAGAAACAAACAGCUGUUGGGAGAAUAUAAAGCAUCAAGCAAAGUCUUCAUGUAUGUAUAAUGGUCACUGGGCUAAAUCUUUUGUCUCUUAAUCUGUGCGGCCUUAGACGAUCCGUUCGCUCCAAACUCUCCUAAGCCAACCUUUACUCCCAAAAGUGAGGAUUCCUUUAGAAUCCUCUAAAGUACCAAUUUGUAUAGCGGAAGCAAUUGUGCCAAAAGAAACUACAAAAGAACAAUAGAAAGCCACAGAAAGAAUGUACACAAAAUGUUUGAAUAAAUGCUCAAAGAAUUCUAUUACUUUUAAGAAUUCAACUUACAAAUGGAUUACCUACAAAUGAGGGAAGGCUCUCUAUUUAUAGUUGAGCUCCCCCAAAACCGACGGCCAAGAUCAAAUUACAUCGACGGAUGAGAUUAGCCUAUUCCUUGAUUUUAAGGAUUUACAAGAUUAUAUCAUAUCAAAUUAAAUCUACAUGAUAUGAUUCCCAUAUUUACUAAAAAUAGCUUAUGUUGCCACAUCUUCAUUAACGGACCAAUCAGACUUCAAUCUGACAGGCUUCUCCAACAAUUAUUGGAAUCGAGCUAGUUCUCGUGACAGACUUCAAUCUAACAAGCUUUACACUUUGGGCCGCGACAGAAUCACAUUCUCCAAUUACAAUAAAUUCUAAAUUCAACAAUCAAACAUCAAUGCAAACUUCACUAGUGUUGGCUCCAGAUUAUUACAUGAAAUUUAUUUAAAACUUAAAAGUAGGAAAAACCAAAUUACAUUGACGACAACAACUAACAUCACAAGUAACAAAGCGAAGAUCAAACUCUUUUUUUCAGUCUUAAGAGUUUUCCUACAAAUGAUUAGAUCUAAAUUGCUACAUAGGCCAGUCCCACCAACGGUGUAGAUAACGAGGUGCUACACAAUUCCAGUGGACAAUAUACUUGCACUCUGACUUUAAGCAUUCAAGAGCCAGAUCUUCACAAGGCUUACGACAUUUAUCACAAUUUGGGUAGUAAUACAUCUUCUUCGCAAUGGUGAGUGGAUGUGGAUGAUAUCUUACAUUUUCAAUGGUCUGGAAUUUGACAAAUGGAUAUUUUCCAAGAACACAAUUAACAUGAGCAGAAGUAUCGCAUUUUGCACAAUGAUAAAACCAACAGUUUGGAUCUCGACUUUCUUCACAGAUAUCGCAAUAAUGAUGUUCUAAAUAAUUGUUAUCAUCAUAAUCUGUGAGUGAAAGAAUAUGCUCAUCGCAUUUGUGAAGAACUGUAAUUGGAAGUGAAAAGCAUCCAAGAUGUAGCACAAAAUUGCAAACCUUACAACGAAAUGCUGCCCUUGUAGUAUAACCACAAGCAUUGCACUUCCCAUUGUAGUCUCUGUAGUAAAAGAGGGGGUGUUCAUGUUUCAAACAUAUUUGAGCACCAGGAGUAAGAGCAAGCACACAUUGGAGGCAUUUUUUUGCUUUACAUCCACAACAUUCAUAAGCAAAGGCAUUACACACAUUCAGACAUUCUCGACACCUAAAAACCCUGUCCGAAAUAAGGGCAAGAGGUUUUUGGCACAAAUGAUGCCAAACAUCCUUCAUCUUAGGUAAUGCAGCACACGCUUUAUGAAGGAAGAAAUCACAAAAUGAACAAGAGUAAAAUGGUCCCGAGAUUGGCAACAAACACCCGUCACAACCAUUCUCAUUCUUUCCAACAACGGGACUUAACAUUAGAUUAUGUAUAUGCAAGAAAUGUUCUAUUUUUGUAGCUUCUCCAGCAUCGUUGCUCUCUAAAACAGUGAUGGAACUUUCAUAGGGCAUCUCAUCUUCAUCUUCUGGUGAAACUAUUGAAUAUGAGCGUUCAUCCUCUGUCACACAAUGCACAUGGAAUAUAGCAUUGCACUUUGAACAAUAGUAACUACCAUACUCUGUAUUGACUUCAUCAUGGCAUAUCAUGCAAUUCAAAACUCCAAAAUCUUCUAUGUGAUGGAAAUAUGUGUGAAGAAGGCGAUGGUCAUGCCACUUACUUUUGAUAAUGCGAGGCCAUGAAAUGCAAUUUUUAUGGAUUAUAAUGUUACACGUACCACAUCUAUGGGCAACAUGAUUUCCUUCGAUACCACACGCAUCACAAGUGAAUGGAACUUGUCUAAAAACCAAGGUAAAUGGAUGUUCAUGAUUUGUACUCUUAAUAACUUGUAAUGGUGAUUGUGAUGCGCAUUCAAUGUGAACAACAAACUUACAAGGAGAGCAACCAUAAACAAAUCCUAAAGCCUUCCGAUUGGUUUCUCCGCAUAUCUUGCAAGAGAGCCGUUCGCUAUUAAAUUGUAGAGCAAGAGGAUGCUUGCGAUGACACACAUGAUUCAGUUUGAAAGGAAGCUUAGCGCAUUUCUCAUGUAAAUUAAAUCCACAGGCAGGAGAGAAGUGUGUAUACUUUGCUAAUGGUUCCCAGCAUCCAAAGCACUCUCUAACAUCUUCAAGUUCUUCAUCACCAUUUUCAUCUUCAAGUUCUUCAUGACCAUUUUCAGUGGAAAUCAAAGGAUGUUGAAGGGCAACAUGCUCAAGCUCUUUCAAAUUAUUCUCAGCAACAUUAAAUGUAAACAAAGCACAUUUAAUAUGAAAGUCCAAUUUGCAAGAGCAGUGAUAAAUGAAUUUCUCACAUGUUUUAUCACAGAAAUCGCAAAUACACCUUGUGUAAGAAGAUGGUGGCUCUUGCAGAAGAAGAAGAGGAUGAUGAGGAUGAAAAGGAUGAUUAAGCUCCAAAGGUGCGUCGCCACAUGACUUGUGAAGAUAAAACCCACAGUGCUCCACACAGCAAAAACAUGGAGCAGACACCUCCUCCCCGCACCUGGAGCAAUGAGUUACACCACUUUGAUUGUGGAUCAGCUGGUCGUGAUUCAAGAUAAGAAGCAGGGGAUGUUGGUGGCCAUAAUUGUUAGACUCCUCCAUUUCUCCUUCCCCAAGCAAUAUAAAUAAAGGAAAAAGCUUGAUUUUGGGGGCAAAGAUUGAAAGGGAAAACAAGAAUACUAAGUGAAGAAAGAUAAAGAUUAAGUGGGAGAACAUUUGAUAUUUAGAGGCAGUGGCAGAGGGUCGCUGAUAGUAAACUAUAGAGGUCAACUCAAAUAGGUAGUCAAUGCUUUUGUCUUAUCUUCACACUUGCUUUUGAGGUUGGGUUGAUUUGAUAUUCAUGAAUAAAUUUAUGAGAUUUUUUUAUCAAUCCUUUUUUGUUUUAUUUCGAAAUUCCCUUAUUAUUUUAUUCUAUACACCAUAUGUAUGUAUAUAUAUAAAUGUACAUGUUAAUCAAUUUUCUUGACACUUUCCUUCACACCACUUUCAUCCUUCAAUUAUUGUGGUGAACCAAUGAUGUCCAAAAUAGUAAAUAAGCACAACCGGAACUUUAAAGAAUUCUACCCAAAUUAUCAUGUCAACAAAUUAAUGUGUAAUUAACAUUUAAGCAUUUGAUUAAAAGAGUUGACGUGCAAAAAGAAACCACUUUUGGUAGAAAGUGUGUCUUACAUUGUGUGCUUUCAACUAAAAAUAUAUCUUUUCUCUUUUAAAAGUAGUUUAUUUAUUUAAAUUUUAAAAAAAUUGAUUUAUUUUUCUAAAUAUUUUUUAAAAUGGUCUUUUUAUUUAAUUUGUCUGGUUAUAAUUUGACUUUAAUUUUAAAAUCUGAAAAGUAGAUAAAUUAAAUUUCUAAAAAUAAAAGUAUAAGAAUUAAAUUUUAAAUUUAUGAAUAGUACAAUAGUGACUGUGCUUGGCAUUAAAUUGAGGGCCACUCGUCGUGGCCUCCAUUUCUCCUUCCCCAAGCAAUAUAAAUAAAGGAAAAGCUUGAUUGUAGGAGGAAAGUUUGAAUGGGAAAACAAGAUUACAAGUGAAGAAAGAUAAUGAUUGAGGAAGUGGGAGAGCAUUUGAUAUUUAGAGGCAAAGGCUCGCUUAUAGUAAAGAUUCCGACGGCGGCGGUGGCUAGGGCUAAGGAAGAAAGAAAAAAUAAUCUAUCAUUCCUUUACAAGAUAAAUAUAUAAUUUUUUUAACACUUACUCUAAUUCAUGAAUUCUUUUAUUAAAAUAGUAUUUAAAAAAUUUCAAGUUAAUUUAAAUAUUAACUAUUUGAACUAACUAAUAAUAUUAUAAACCAACCUCAGCACUAGACUAUUGAAAGCAUUCCCGUAAUCUCCAACGCAACAACCACAUAUAUCCGCAAGGAUACCUUCCGGCAACGACAAUAAUCUGGAAGAUUGGUUCUCAAAUGUUAUUUCUUGUUUCAUUUUUCACAUGUGCUAACACGAACAUGUUUACACUACACGCUCUUAGAAGAGAAACUUGAAAAGAAAUAAUUUUCAAAAACAAUUUCUUGUGAAAGAGGCUGUUUUCAUUAUCUAUGAACAAGAAAGGAAAACUUAUAACAAUAAACAGACUUAUCAAAGAAAAUUGUGUUUCAUAGUCAAGAUUGAUGUCCUUUGAAAUUCUCUCAAAAUUGUUUAGUAUGUGGGAAUUACUUUUUAAAACUACUGUGUAAUAAUUUAGCAAAAUUAAUUUCAUGUUGUGAUGGUAGAGACAUUUCACACUGAAUUUAGCUAAAUCUAAAAUAAAAUUUAAUAAAUCAGGAUCUAUCAUGUCAAAUCAUGACAUCGCCACCUGCUCUGCCCGACAUCGCCGCACCUACACCUGCAAAAACAGAAAAGAAACACCAGCAAGUAAAAAUAAAGAAUAAAAUAUGUAAAAAAUAGCUAUAAAAGCCAUAGAAAGUUUGUAAAAAGGGCUUCUUCUGCCUUUUUUUUAGAGAAAAUAGAUUCAACAAAAAAUAAAAAGAAAUAAAACUUUCUUCAGAGGUGAUUUUUUGUUUUGCUCUUUCUUUUUCCAUUUAUUUACUUUUAUUUUUUACUUUUUUUUUGAGUUUUCCUUUAAUUUCAUCUUUCGAAAUAUUUAUAUAAAAUAACAUUUGUUUUAUUUUAAGAAAAGAGUAUACAAAUAUAUAUACAAAAAAAAAAUUUGACCUUCGAACUUUUCGGCCCCUGUAUACGGCGACCGACGAUGGCUGGCGCGGUGGCCGACAGUGGUCGACGGCGACUCCACGGCGGUCAUCAGUCGGGAUCCAGGUCGGAGGUAGAAGGCCUUUGAGAGAAAAUAAGGGGAGCUUUGGGUUUUUUUUUUUAGAAGUGGUUGAAAUGUUUUUUUUUUUUAAAUUUUUUUGGCUUAAAUAGCCUACCAAAACGGCGUUGUUUUGGACUUGGGGUUCAGAGGCCAAAAACGACAUCGUUUUGACUUGGGUCUAGGAUCCACGUGUUUUUAUGCGGAGGGGUAAAUUGCGCUUCUAGCCCCUCCGCUUUUUAAUUUUUUUAAUCAGAUUUUUUUAUUCUUAAAUUUGCCCUUUUAGUUUAUUUUCGAUUUCCUAUUGGAACGACGCCAUUUUAGAGGAGAAGGGAAAAUUACCCUUCCAACCCCUCUAUAUUAUUCGCGCGUUCAACGUAGUCCCUCCCCUUUGAUUUUAUUUGCGAUUCAACCCCAAAUUUUAAUUUUUUAUUUGAUUUAGUCCUUUUCUUUGUUAUUUUGGUUGCUUUCUCAUUGAAAUUAAUCAAUUUAAUACUAUUAUCAUUAUUAUUAUUAAUUAUUAUUAUUAUUUACUCCUAUCUACCUUUUAAAUUUCAACUCUUUUUUUUAUAUAUAUACAUGCAUACAUUUUAUAAUAUAUACAUAUACGUACACAUUUUUUUUAUUUUUAUAUACAUAUAUAUACAUACUUACAUACUCUAUUAUUUAAUAAACUUAAAAUAUAUAUACAUAUCUUUUUCGUAUUUCUUGUAAUCAUAUGUAUACACAUACAUGUUUUUUUAUAAUAUAUAUACAUGUGUAUAUUUUUAUAUACGUACCUAUAUAUAUUUUUAUAUUUUAUAAUAUUUACACAUACCUACAUACAUGUCUAUAUAUAUAUUUCAUUUUCAUAAAUAUAUAUACAUAUAUGUACUUACAUAUUCUUUAUACUUUCAAAAUAUAUAUUUUGUAUAUAUUCUUUAUAUUUUAUGAUUCAUAUAUAUACCUACAUAUAUAUACUUUUUAUAUUUUAUGAUUGUUAUAUACGUAUAUAUGUGUGUACAUACAUACUUACACAUAUUUUCAUGGAUAAUAGCUUUAAAAUAUGUGUACAUACAUAUGUUUUCCAUAUUUCCAUAAUUUUAUACCUAUACAUAUAUAUAUUUUAUAUUUUUAUAAUUUUGUUCAUUUAUUUAUUUAUUUACAUGUCCGUUAUUAUUUUUUUUUAUACUUUAUACUUUAUCUGUUUAUUAUUUGUUAUUGUAUCUGCAUGAUUGAUUUUUUUAUAUAUAUAUAUUGGUCUUAUUGUUUGUUUAUCUUUUUGUUUUUUUUGCUCGUAUUAUUUUACUUACGUUAUCAUCAUUGUUAUUCCAUUACAUCUAUUUUUACUCAGAUUCUUAAAAAAAGAAAAUUUCGAAAAUAAAAGCAAUAUUCGGUAUUUGGGAUCUUCGAGAGGAUUGAGCCCUAACGUAUUGGGUUCCAAAUUUCUUCGUUGAAUCUAAAUAAUCGAGAAUGCUCUUUAAAUAAAAAAACAUAAAUAAAAGCUCAUUAUCGGGAAUUCGAUAUGUUGUAACCUAACGCAUUGGAUAUGACACGUUGUUUUCUCGAGACGAGAAUUUUUCUAAAAAAAUAAAUAAAGACAAUAUUCAAUGUUUAGAAUUUUGAGAAAUUGUGCCCUAACGUAUUGGGCCGCAAUUUUUUCAUCUAACUUAAACAAUUGAAUAUCCUUUUAAAAUUUUAUUGUACGAGUUUUUAGACAAGCUCAUUUUUGAAGAGGUGAAAUAUCAUGCCCUAACUCAUUGGGUAUAACAUUUUCUCUCUCUAAAAUGAGAGGGUCUUAACGGCUAAUUUGAUCUAUCCAAGUUUUUAAUACAAGGUUCGUAUUUUAAAAUCUUUCAACCUUCAACAUUAAGACGUUAAUUAAUCAAUUAUGUACCAAUUUUGGGCGUUACGAGGGUGCUAACCCUUCCUCGUACGUAAACAACUCCCGAACCUUUUUUUUUUAAUUUCGUGGACCAAAAACGUUGUUUUAAUAAAAUCAAAUCAUUUAUUGAAAACAACCGUGUUAUAAAGUGAACCGAUCACACCUCCUCAAAAGAAUCGAUGGCGACUCUCAUUUUCAUUUUAUUUUUAAAAUCCAAGUUGAGCCUGUUUUACCAAAAAAAUGGUGUCAACAUAUAUGACCUAUGUUGUUGAUAUGCUUGAUGUAAUUAUGUGCUGAUAGAUUGAUAAAUCAGUUUUACCAAGUGUACAAGCAAUGUUUAUCAAGUUACUAGGCUACUUAGUGGAGUUAGGUAUGUGUUUAGGUAACAUUUUCUUAUUUUGACCAGUUGAUUGCUUGGCAUAUGUAAUGGCAUUGUGCCUUCAUUUAAUGGUAAUGAAAUCUUUCAGAAAAAUUCUUCUUCUUUUAGUCUUUAUUUAAGCAUUUUGUUCACAAAGCUUUGGCUUAAUUUUCUUAUUUGUUCAGUAAGACAUUGAAGCUUAAAGCUUAAGUUUCUGUCAAAUUCUCUAAUUCUGUUUUCUUAGUUCCUACAGAUAUGUUCUAUUACAGUGGCUUUUCCAGCAUCAUUCCAUUCAAGAACAUUGGUUAUGGAGCUAACAUCAGCAGAUUCCUUAUCUUCAUUUUCUGCUAUUUCAUAUGAAUCUUAUCUUCAUUGCACACUUCACAUGGAAUAUAACAUCGCACUCUGAACAAUAGUAACUACCAUAGUCUGUACUGACUUCAUCAUUGCACAUUAUGCAAUUCAAAACUCUAAAAAGGAAAUAUUUGUGAAAAAGGCGAUGAUCAUGCCACUUGCUUUUGAUGAUGCGUGGCAAUGAAGUGCACUUUUUAUGGACCAUAAUUUUGCUUGUACAACAUAUGUAGGAAGCAUAACUUCCUUCCACACCACAUGCAUCACAAAUGAAUGAUGAUCUCCUUGUAAACAAAGUGAAAGGAUGUUCAUGGCUUUUAUCUUCAACAACAAAAUCUAAAGAUGCUGAUACAGAUUCAAUGUGAACCGCAAACUUACAAGGUAAACAACCAUAAACAAAUCCUCUUCGCCUUGUUACUUGGCAUAUCUUGCUAGAGAGCCGUUGGCUAUUAAAUUGUAGAACAAGAGGAUGCUUGGAUGGCAUACAUGAUUCAGUUUGAAAGGAAGCUCAGCGUAUUUCUCAUGUAAAAUAAAUCCAAAGUUAGGAGAAAAGUGUGUAUACUUUGCUAAUGGUUCCCAACAUCCAAAGCACUUAGCAGCAUCUUUGAGUUUUUCAUCACCAUUUUCAGUGGAAAUCAAUGGAUGUUGAAGGGCAACAUGCACAAGCUCUUUCAAAUUAUUCUCAGCAACAUUAAAUGUAAACAAAGCACAUUUAAUAUGAAAGUCCAAUUCGCAAGAGUGGUGAUAAAUGAAUUUCUCACAUGUUUUAUCACAGAAAUCGCAAACACACCUUGUGUAAGAAGAUGGUGGCUCUUGCAGAAGAAGAAGAGGAUGAUGAGGAUGAAAAGGAUGAUUAAGCUUCAAAGGUGCGUCGGCACAUACCUUGUGAAGAUAAAACCCACAGUGCUCCGCACAGCAAAAACAUGGAGCAGACACCUUCUCCCCACACCUGGAGCAAUCAGUUAAACCACUUUGAUAGUCGAUCAGCUGCUCUUGGUUCAAGAUAAGAAGCAGGGGAUGUUGGUUCAAGAUAAGAAACAGUGCUAAAAAGUCCUCAAACUUUUUUUAUAAAAAGUAAUUAAGUCUAUUUUUUUUGCACUUAAUUGAGUACUUAAACUUUUAAAAUGUAUCAAAAAGGUCCUCAAAUUUCUUCAAACAAAAGCGAUUAAGCCCCUGCUUUUUUCACUCAAUUAGGUACUUGAACUUUCAAAAUACAUCAAAAAGAUUUUCAAAAUUUUUCAAAAAAAGCAAUUAAGCCGCUACUCUUUUUAAAAAUUAAAAAAAUUAUAAAUAAUAAUUUUUAUAAAAAUUAUUAAAUUUUAAUAAAAAUAUAAAUAAAUUUAAAUUUAUUAAAAAUUAGAUUUUUUAUAAAAAUUGUAAAAAAAUAUUGUAAAAUUUUAUAAAAAUCAUAAAAUAAUUUAAUGACCCAUAGUCUUUUUUCCAAUUAAAGUUAUCACAUAUUGCAAUACAGUGUGACAUGUGGCAAAAAAUAAUAAAAAAAUAAAAAUCAAUAAAAGUUAUAGAAAAAUCAUAAAAUGCUUCUUUUGGUACGAUAAUUUUUAUUUUUUUUUGCGAAAUUUAUAUUUCUUUAUAUAAUUUUCUUACUACUUUUUAAAAUUUUAUAUAUUUUUAUAUUUCUAUAUAUUUUAUAAUUUUUUUACGAUUUUUAUAAAAUUUUACAAUUUUUAUAUUUUUUAUGAUUUUUAUAUUUUUUCUAAUUUUUAAUAUUUAAAAUUUUUAUUAAAAUUUAAUAAUAUUUAUAGCUUUUAUUGAUUCUAAUUUUUUAUAAUUUUUUUUUCUAAUUUUUAAUAAAAAGCAUGGGCUUAAUUGCUUUUUUUGAAAAAGCUUGAGGGUCUUUUUGAACCAUUUUGAAAGUUCAAGUACUCAAUUGAGUGCAAAAAAAAAUAGGGGCUUAAUUACUUUUUUCGAAAAAAUUUGAGGGCUUUUUUAAUGCAUUUUGAAAGUUCAAAUACUCAAAUGAGUGCAAAAAAAAAAGUAGGGACUUAACUUUUUUUUUUUUUUAAAUUUGAUGAAACAAAAUUAAAAAGAUGAGUGUUGAAAUAUGGAAAACUUUUAUAGCAAAAUUAUCAAGGUAUUUUAAAUAAGAUUAUGACAUAUUACCCAUAAAUUAUCCAAUUUUUAUUCUUUAAAUUUAUAUUAAGUCGAAUAAGUUUUUUAAGAAAACUCAAAUUGUAAUAAAAUAAGCAAUGGUUAACGUUAAAUUGACUGGUUUUAGUAUAAAAUAGUGAUUGUAAUUAGUGUUACUGUUAUGCAUUAGGGAUUGGGUAUUGGGUAUUGGGUUCUGAGCUGAGUACCAUGUCUUUUUUUUCUAACAUAAUACAUUAAAUUGUUUUAAUUUUACUUAUUGAAUAGAAAAUUUUAUAAUUUAUAUAAAUAUGAAAAAGAAUGUUACAGUUUUAUUUAAUUAAAGAUGCUAAAUUAUAAUUUUAGCAUUUAAUUUAUGUUUUUUUUUAUUGCAUAAUCAAAAUGUUGUGUAGGAUUACUGUAUACCUUUUAAUUUCCCAAUUUUUGGCAGAUGUAAAUGAGAUUUGGUGGCAAUUCCAAUUAUGGGUUUCAGACAAAAGCUAAAGAGAUUCCUUAAUCUAAAUAACAAACUUUCCAAAGCAUUUACUUCACAAGGCAUGCGUGCAUACAUUUAAAGAAGAUAACACACAUCAGAAUACUAUAGUUUUCCAACUCAAAACAUGCUUCCCUUACAAUACGAAACCCUAGUCUGCAUAAUAAUUACAACCAGCAUUACAUGUAAUAAUGUCAGGACCAUACUCUGUGUUCUCUUCGAAAGAAAAGUGGUAGUUUUGGAGUAUAGUCACCUCAACGCCACCUUAGUCCUCCCAAUCUCAAGAAGUGAACUUGUUAUCGUGGACACAUAACAUGGACAAUGAAGUUACAUCCAGUACAUUCCAAAGCCAAAUCGAAACAGGGCUUACCACACUUACUGCAGUUCGGAUAGUAAUAAAUCUUCUUAACAACAGUGGCAGGAUGCUCAUGAAUGUCCUUAAGUACUUCAAUGAUAUUCCCGGGUUUGAGGAAUGGAUUUUUACCAAGGACACAAUUGACAUGAGCAGAAGUAUUACAUGUUGCACAAUGAUAAAACCAAAGAUUUGGAUCUCGACGUUCUUCACAAACAUCACAAAAAUGGCUUUCUGAAUAACUGUUAUCAUCAUAAUAAGUGAGUGAAAGAAGAUGUUCAUCACUUUUGUGUUGGGAUGUAAUAGGCAACGAAAAACAUCUAUGAUCUACAGAAAAAUCGCAAUCCUUACAACACAACAACCCUUCGAUAUUAUUCUUACCACAUGCAACACAUCCCCCACUCUUUUCGGUGUAGAGAAAAAUAGGGUGUUUAUGUCCUACACAUGUGUGAGCACCAGGUGUAAGAGCAAUUAUACAUCGAAGGCAUGUACGUUUCUUACAUUCUUCACAUUUAUAGGCAAACGCUUUAGACAAGUAACCACAUGCUACACACCAAAAUACUUCGUUUGAAGUAAGGACUAGUGAUGCUUGGCAAGGAUGAUGCCAAACCUGCUUUACCUUUGGUAACUCGACACAAACUUUAUGGAGAAAGAAAUCACACUGUGUACAGUAGUAAAAUGAAUCCGAGAUCGGUAACAAGCACCCAUCACAACAUUUAUUAUCAUACUCACCUACUCUGUCACUUAACGUUAAGUGGUGAAUAUGCGUGAUAUGUUCUAUUACAGUGGCUUCUCCAGCAUCAUUCCAUUCAAGAACCUUGGUUAUGGAGCUAACAUCAGCAGAUUCCUCAUCUUCGUUUUCUACUAUUUCAUAUGAAUUUCUAUUCCUCAUUGCACACUUCACAUGGAAUAUAACACCGCACUCUGAACAAUAGUAACUACCAUAGUCUGUACUGACUUCAUAAUUGCACAUUAUGCAAUCCAAAACUCUAAAAUCUUCUAUGCGAAGGAAAUAUUUGUGAAAAAGGCGAUGAUCAUGCCACUUGCUUUUGAUGAUGCGUGGCAAUGAAGUGCACUUUUUAUGGACCAUAAUGUUACAUGUGCAACAUAUGUAGGAAGCGUAACUUCCUUCAAUACCACAUGCAUCACAAAUGAAUGAUGAUCCUCUUAGCAACAAAGUGAAAGGAUGUUCAUGCCUUUUAUCUUCAAUAACAAGACCUAAAGAUUCUGAUACACAUUCAAUGUGAACAACAAACUUACAGGGAGAACAACCAUAGACAAAUCCUCUUCGCCUUGUUACUUGGCAUAUCUUGCAAGAGAGUCGUUCGCUAUUAAAUUGUAGAGUAAGAGGAUGCUUGUGAUGGCACUUAUGAUUCAGUUUGAAAGGAAGCUUAGCGCAUUUUUCAUGUAAAUUAAAUCUACAGUCAGGAGAAAAGUGUGUAUACUUUGCUAAUGGUUCCCAACAUCCAAAGCACUUACUAACAUCUCCAAGUUCUUCAUCACCGUUUUCAGUGGAAAUCAAAGGAUGUUGAAGGGCAAAAUGGUCAAGCUCUUUCAAAUUAUUCUCAGCAAUAUUAAAUGUAAACAAAGCACAUUUAAUAUGAAAGUCCAAUUUGCAAGAGCAGUGAUAAAUGAAUUUCUUACAUGUUUUAUCACAGAAAUCGCAAACACACCUUAAGUGAGAAGAAUAAGGUGGGUUUUGCAUAAGAAGAAGAGGAUGGCCGAGAUGAAAAGGAUGAUUAAGCUCCAAAGGUGCCUCGGCACAUGCCUUGUGAAGAUUAAACCCACAGUGCUCCGCACAGCAAAAACAUGGAGCAGACACCUCCUCCCCGCACCUGGAGCAAUGAGUUACACCACUUUGAUUGUGGAUCAGCUGGUCUUGAUUCAAGAUAAGAAGCAGGGGAUGUUGGUGGCCAUAAUUGUUAGACUCCUCCAUUUCUCCUUCCCCCAAGCAAUAUAAAUAAAGGAAAAAGCUUGAUUUUGGGAGCAAAGAUUGAAAGGGAAAACAAGAUUACUAAGUGAAGAAAGAUAAAGAUUGAGGAAGUGGGAGAGCAUUUGAUAUUUAGAGGCAAAGGCAGAGGGUCGCUUAUAGUAAACAAUAGAGGUGAAGUCAAUUAGGUAGUCAAUGCUUUUAUCUUAUCUUCACACUUGCUUUUGAGGUUGGGUUGAUUUGAUAUUCAUGACUAAAUUUAUGAGAUUUUUUUAUCAAUCCUUUUUUGUUUUAUUUCGAAAUUCCCGUAUUAUUUUAUACUAUACACCACUUUCCUCCUUCAAUUAUUGUGGUGAACCAAUGAUGUCGAAAAUAGUAAAUAAGCACAACCGGAACUUUUUAAUAUUUGAUUAAAGUGUUGAUGUGCAAAAAGAAACCACUCUUGGUAGAAAGUGUGUCUUACAUGGUGUGCUUUUAACUAAAAAUGUCUUCUCUUUUAAAAGCAGUUUAUUUAUUUAAAUUUUAAAAAAUUCAAUUUAUUUUUCUAAAUUUCUUUUUUAAAAUGGUCUUUUAUUUAAUUUGUCUUGUAAUAAUUUUACUUCAAUUUUAAAAUUUAAAAAAUAGAUAAAUUAAAUUUUAAAAAAUAAAAGUAUAAAGAUUAAAUUUUAAAUUUAUGAAUAAUACAACAGUGACUGUGCUUGGCAUUGAAUUGGGGGCCACUCGUCGUGGCCUCCAUUUCUCCUUCCCCAAGCAAUAUAAAUAAAGGAAAAGCUUGAUUUUGGGAGGAAAAUUUGAAUGGGAAAACAAGAUUACAAGUGAAGAAAGAUAAUGAUUGAGGAAGUGGGAGAGCAUUUGAUAUUUAGUGGCAAAGGCUCACUUAUAGUAAGAUCCUGACGGCGGUGGCUAGGGCUAAGGAAGAAAGAAAAAAUAAUCUAUCAUUCCUUUACAAGAUAACUAUAUAAUUUUUUUAACACUUACUCUAAUUCAUGAAUUCUUUUAUUAAAAUAGUAUUUAAAAAAUUUCAAGUUAAUCUAAAUAUUAACUAUUUGAACUAACUAAUAAUAUUAUAAACCUACCUCAGCACUAGACUAUUGAAAGCAUUCCCGUAAUCUCCAACACAACGACCACAUAUAUCCGCAAGGAUACCUUUCGAUAACGACAAUAGUCUGGAAGAUUGGUUUUCAAAUGUUAUUUCUUGUUUCAUUUUUCACAUGUGCUAACACGAACAUGUUUACACUACACGCUCUUAGAAGAGAAACUUGAAAAGAAAUGAUCUUUAAAAACAAUUUCUUGUGAAAGAGGCUGUUUUCAUUUUUCUAUGAACGAGAAAGGAAAACUUAUAACAAUAAACAGACUUAUCAGAGAAAAUUGUGUUUCAUUGUCAAGAUUGAUGUCCUUUGAAAUUUUCCCAAAUUUGUUUAGCAAGUGGGAAUUACUUUUUAAAACUACUGUGUAAUAAUUUAGCAAAAUUAAUUUCAUGUUAUGAUGGUAGAGACAUUUCACACUGAAUUUAACUAAAUCUGAAAUAAAACUUAAUAAAUCAGGAUCCAUGUCAAAUCAUCGUGAACGAAUGAAGAAAAAAAAAAUUAUAACCUUUAAGGUAACUGGAGCCGCCGGUCUUAAUUUUUUUUUCUUAUGUACAAAACUUGAUUCUUAAAGGAAUUGAUAUAAUAACAUGAAAAUUCGUCAUAUAAAAAAAAACAUAAAUAUUGCUAAUAUAAUCAAACUGAUAUGUUUAGCCAAAACAUAAUAAAAAAUGUUAUGAUUAAUAAAUCCAUAAAAAAUUAAUGAUAAAUUAUCAAUCACGUUUUAAUAGCCAAGCAUUAAAUUAUAUCUUAUAAGAAUAAUAUUCAUACAUGGGUAAUAAAUUACGGGACCAAAUCAAUUGAAGUCAAAAUCACAUGGGUUAGGUCAUUGCGAAUUGAAAGACAGUAAUUUACAAAAGACAAUAUCAAAAAUUGAAAGUAGAAAUUACGUAGGUUUAGUCUACAGUAAUUUCAAUUUCAAAGGAAAAGUUAAAUCUUCAGAUUGAAUCAUAAUUAAACAAAACUUAAAAGAAAUUUAUCAUGAAUUUUAAAAAUUCAACAUGAAAUAUCAUAUCUAUGAAAUUUGAAAAUCGAAUCAAUCAAAAUUAAUAGAGAAUCAAUUCAUUUUCAGAGAAUUCAACAUGACGAGGCUCGGAUGCCACUUGUUAAAAUUAUAAAAUAAAUCUGAAAUAAAAUUUAAUAAACCAGGAUCUAUCAUGUCAAAUCAUCAAGAAUAAAUCAAGAACAGAAUUAGAUGAGAAAGUGUACCUGAAUCCAUGAAUUCCUUGAAAUCUACAGAUCUUGGAGAUUUGAUCUUUCAAAUUAACACACAAAAAAUUUAAAGAAUAAUUUGCUCUCUCUUUCCUAAGGAUAAGGAUAUUAGAAAAGAUAUUUGUUAUGUAAUUUGGGGACCAUGACCCUAAUAUUUUUAACCUUGGCAUAUUAGUUCUAAUUCCUACUUAGCCCAUCAUGGAUUAGAAUUUGAUUAGAACUCAAUUACUAGAGUCUCUACACAUAUUUGACCCAUACUUUAUUUAAUAAUUAAAGCCCAAUAAAACUUUAACCAAAUUAGAUCACUUUUAAUUUAGGCUAACCUAUCAUGAUAGUAAAUAAUAACAUAUAAUUACCUUUAUUAUAUAUAUGGUAACACCAUCCACAUUCAGUAUCUCCCAACAACAAAUUCCUACAUCUAAUCCUUAUCCUUCUAUUUGGAUAUUUUUCAAAAAAACUGUAACAUCUUUGCUACACCUUCCACAAUUAAACAUACAACUAAUGUAUAGACAACCAAUGGAAGAGUUUCUUUCGCUGUCAUUGUGCGCCUCAAAAUCACUUCACCUUAUACCAUUUUGCCUUGUUUUGGGAACAGUGAAGUUCCUAGCAUAACUAGGGCUUGAAUGUUGCCGACAUUAGCAAAGUGCAUAAUGCAUUCUUGUGUGCAAGGUCUCAUUUCCAUUAUCCAUACAUGAUGAACUAUGUUGUUCAAGUUUACUACCCUCAACACACACUCUCUCUAAAACUAUUUCGAACAAAAACAUCAAUUCUUCUAUAGUAGUCACAUAAUAGUGUAACAAUUGGGAACCGUGUGGCUCAAAAGACUCCUAUAUUCCAGUGGUCAUAAGGUCGUGUGACACACCUCCGUAUGCCAGCUCAUGUGGUACAAAACAUGUCAUUUUUAAACUUGUUACAAACAACAUAAACUUUUAACACAUUUAUGCAUACCAAAUAUAUACCAAACGUUCAUUUAUCUAUGCACAAAACUUCCAUACAUUCAAACAAGAAAACAUAAACCAAAUCAACAUCUCAUUCGAACCAUUUCACCUCCAACUUCUAUCACUCAUGCAUUUCAAUUAUGACUCAAUCCAGCACCAUACAUUUAUGUACAAUAAUCUCACACUAAACACCAUUCAUAUACUUUAAGCAUAAACAUGUCAAGUUGUCUUUAUGUACUCUUUUAAACAUUAUGACCAAGCAUCGAAAAAUCCACAUUGUUCCUAGUUCAAACUCAAGGACAUUAAAAGUAGACAUAUGUACAAAGAAAACCCACAUAAUCGUGUUCGGAACACUUAAAACACUACCAAUUAGAAGCUGGAUAGUGUAUGCAGCAACUUGAUCUGAUCGACAUGUUCAGCAAAAUGUUAACCAUAGAAAAAACGGAAUUGAGUAAGCAUUUUAUAUGCUUAGUAAGCUCAUAGGUAAAAUACAUGUAAACUUACCUUGGACCCAAAAAUAUGCAAUAAAAACAAUUAACAUAAUAUUAUAAACUUGACAUAACAAUUCACAAGGGAUAGGUGAGUUCAUCUCAUUGCCAAAUAGCAGAAUAUUUCAACAUUUGACAUAUUAUUCAAUUUAAUCCAUUCACAUAGGUAUAAUACUUUCAUUCAUAUCAUUUAUUGUUUAUACUCAAAUCAUAUUAGCCCGAUGAACUAUAGCAAGUAUCUUUGAAUACUCGGGUACCUACAUCAAACCAGAGAGCACCGUAGUACUAUAUAGAGGCACCGAAGUGCAAACAUGUAUAAGCGCACAUCUAACCCUAUCGACAUGCCAAUUGUAUCCUAUUCAUCACUACAUUCGCACGAGCUUAAUUUAUACAUAGAUAAACAAUUCUUUGCAUUUUAAUCCAAGGCUCACUUUUUUUACCAUUUUGCAAACAAUUCAAAAUAUAUUAAACAUACAUACAUUCAUAGUAAAAUUACAUGAAAAUUUAAAUAAGCACAUACCGUAUGAACUUACAAAAAAAAGCUAAUGAGUUGUAGGGACUAUUCAACAAUUUUUCCUUUUUUCAAUUAUCUUCAACUUGCUUCAAAUAUUGAUCUAUAUGAUAAUUAAUUUCAAAUUAUCAAUUUCAAUUACCUUAUAAUGUCUAAUUACAUGCAUAUGACCUUUUAAUUUUAUAUUAAAAAAUUUCUUUAAAGUGUUACUGUUUAUUCAAUUUAGUCCCUGGAACCGAAAUUGCCAUAAUUAUCAAAUUUGAGCCUCGAUUUCGAAAUUGAUCUCAAAUCCAUCCUCAACUAACUCACUAGCAGCAUAAAGCAUAUAUUUUCAUCCCACUAUUUAUAAAUUUCACACAUUAGUCCUUUAUAGCAAAACUAUCAAAAUCUCACUUUACAAUUUAGUCCUCCUUAGCAUCUAAGCUUAACAUGCAACCAUUUAACAUCAAAAGCUUCAAUAAUAAUCAACGAAAACAUUUCAAAACUUUAAUAGUUUCACAAAUUAAUCCUUGGGUUAGCUAAAUCAAGCUCUCGAGAUAUCAAAAAAUAUAAAAUUACAAAAAGGGCUAAAUUGGAAUACCUAAAUAAGUGUCGAAAGCUUCAAAGCCCUAGAGAGAUUCUCUUCAUUGGAGAAAUUAGUGGAAGGGAGGAAGAUGAACAAAUGUUUUUUUCUCUUCUUUCACCAUACCUACUUGUUUCUUUUAAUUAUAACAUUUUAUGUUAUUUUAAUUAUAAAUUAUAAUAAUAUACCAUAUAAAAUUUAACCAAACUGUCCACUAGAAUUCCAAUUGGUCCUUAAUUUAAGUUUUUCACUUAUAAAUCUAUAAUAAUUUAAUUUUUACUAUUUUUACAAUUUAGUCUUUAUACCAAAAUUAAUUAUUUAAUUAACGAAAUUAAAAGAUUAAAUCCUAACUAAACUUUAUAUUAAUCUUGUAAUAACAAUAUUUACGACCUCAUUAGUUAAAAAUGAUGUUCCAAAAUCACUUUUUCCGAAACUAUUGAAGAAUGGGCUCUUACAAUUUUCCUGAUUGAUUUCCUUUCAAUGCAACUGUGCUUCAAAUACAAUCACCCAAAACCAUUAAUGGGUCAAUUCAAACCUACAAUUCAAACACCAUUGAAUCGCAAUCUUCCUUUCAAACACCAAAUCUCAUUGUAUCAUAGUCUACGCAUUAGAACAACUCUCUACAUAAUGAAACACAAAUAUACUUUAAAUGUGCAAUUGAUUAGUCAUUUUGUAUUUGUAUACAAUUACAACACCAAAAGCAAAAAAAAUGAAACAACAACCCAUUAUAAUAAUAAAAAAACAACUACUACCAUCGUUUUCCCAAAAACCAAAAAGGAAACAACUUACAAAAAGUAUAACUAACCAAAACUCAACCCAUACCUAUUUAAACAAGGCCCAAUUUAUAAAUAACUACAGCAACCCAUUGGCUGGAACUUAAACGAAAUGGUGUGUUUAAUAAACAAACUUCAUAACACUUCUCUCUUUCAUCCACCGUAAUUGUUUCUUCAUCUUUUUCUUCUUCGUCGGCAACAUUAUUGCUUCGUUUUCAUUUCACCGUCACUCACCACUUGUUCGCAGCCAUCCAUAUCCCUUCACCCACGUCCAUGGGAACUAACAUCUUUCACAUAAUAUAAAACAUUCAUCCUUGUAAGAUUGUGAAUAUAUCUAAGAGAUCUAAUUUCAUAUUUUAAUUUUUCUCACAUUAUCGUCUUUUUCCAUUUCAAUUAAUUGAAAGGUUCAACACCAUAAAUUCCAAGAACUCCAAGGUCCACCCGCAACAUCCUUACCAGCAACUUACGGGAAUUUUGGCUAAACUGCACUAUUUUUUUCACGGAAUAUACAUAGAGCUAAAACACUCACAACAAAUACAUAAUGGAACACAAAUAUAAUUUAAAUGUGCAUUUUGAGAAUGAGAGAACAAUAAUCACAAGAAAUAAUUCAGUUUUCAAGUAAACUUAUAUAAAGCAACAAAGAGCUAUUGAGUGAAUAUAAAGCAUCAAGCAACAACCUUAUUAUUGUAGUUUUCAUGUAAGUACAACCACGCUAUCCAAUUACAAGCAAUUAUAAAUUCAACCAUCAAACAUCAAUGCAAACUUCACAAAUUCCAACCUAUUUAUUUACAACUUAAAAAUCGAAAAAAAUCAAAUUACAAUGAUAACAGUAGCUAACAUUACAAGUAACAAGCUAAAGAUCAAAUUCUAUUUUACACUCGAGUUUUCCUGCAAAAAGAAGGGGCAUUUUUCAAAUAUUUUAUCAGAAUUGCUAUAGCAACCAUUCCCACCAACGUUGUAGAGAACGGGAUGUUGCACAAUUCCAGUGGAUAAUAUAUUUGCAAUCAGACUUUGAGCAUUCAAGAGUCAAAUCUUCACAAAGCUUGCCACAUUUAUCACAUUCAGGGUAGUAAUAAAUCUUCUUCACAAUGGUGAGUGGGUGUGGAUGAUCCUUAUCUUCAUAGAUGCUUCCUAGUUUGAAGAAUGGAUAUUGUCCAAGAACAUAACCAACAUGAGCAGAAGUAUCACAUGCCGCACAAUGAUAAAACCAACGGUUUGGAUCUCGACUUUCUUCACAGAUAUCACAAUAAUGACUUUCUGAAUAACUGUUAUCAUCAUUUACUUCUACAACAUGCAACUAUGACAAUAAUAUUAUGUUGACUGUUGAAACUUAACGAUAAUAAUUUUAUUAAAAUUGGAGUUGCAUGUAUCAUUACCAACGACAAAUUAAAUGUUUAAUUUCAUGGAUAAACUAUAAAAUUGCUCACUCAUUUAAGUAAUGAUCAUUUAACUUUAAUAAAUUCUUUAUCAUUAAUAUUAUCAAUUAAUUACAUUAUCGUCACUCACUCGUUAAUUAGUCCUUAUAUUUUUUUUAAUUUUUGAACUUUAUUUAUUUUUGGGUAAAAUUGUGACUUCAAUAUUUUCUUACUCAUUAAUAUUUGAUGAUUCUUUGGAUAUAAAAUCAUCUCUUAAUUACUAUUAUUUUUAAUGUCCUUUUAAGAAAAAAUCAUUAUUUGGCAUUUAGAAUAAUAUACAAUCAAUUAAAGUUAAUUUCUUUAUUCUAAUAAGUAGAAGAAAUUAACAAAAGGCAAUGAUUUACCUUGGUUGGAAUGCUAAAGGAUUGGGGCGUCCUCCAACAUUACGUUAUCUUGAAAAUCAAAUUUAUAAUUUUUUUAGUUCAAUCAAUUGAUUACAAGUAAAAUGGAGUAAUAAAAAUUUCAGCUCAUGUCUAAUCGACAGAGCUGCAAAAAACAGCAGUACAACCUACAAAGAAAAAUAACAGCAAGCAGACUGCACUAAUACAAAUCACCAAGAAACAACAGAUUACCAAUAAGCUUUAAAAAAGUGAUUUCUGGACAGUCCAGCGUUUGCCAAUGAAUUAGCCGAACUUUAUCUCCACCAAAUGCCGUAAUCCUCUUUCAAUAUCCGCAAAUAAUUUUCUUAUCGACCAUGGUAUACUCAAUUCAAACUCUACAAUCAGAGGAACAUUUACCUUCCGCAUCAAAUCAAUAAAAAAGAGCCGAGACCACUCCCUUUUCGUCCCUCAACACCCCUCCACUGCCCACAACCUCCUCCACAACUACUCCAGCCACGUUAAAUUUCAACCAACCCGUAGGAGGAGAAUCCCAAACACAAUCCCUAUCUCUCCCCAAUUUUCUACCCAACCUGCAAUCCUUAGGUCCCCACCAAUCAACCUCUGAAAAAACACAAUCAUCAUGUACCAAUCUAGCCCACAUCAAUGAUCUCAUUUUUUAUUGAAAGAUUAAAGAAUCAAUUGUAGCCGACCUUUCAAACAUCUUCUCGUUUCGAGCUAGCCAUACUAUCCAACACGAAGCCGCAAUUACCAAUAACCAUAAACUCUUUUGAAUACCUGUCAACUUCACACUCCAACACACAGAACAGAAUUCAUCGACAUUUGUCACAUCCUUCCAAGCUAAAUCCCACCAGCUAAAAAUGUGAGACCAGAAGCUUUUGAUAAACGAACAUUCAAAAAACAAAUGGUUAGUAUUUUCCGAAACUCAAUCACACCAUGGGUAGCCCCUGUUUGAUGAAUCAAUUUGUAUCCCACGAAUUAUCAAAAAAUCUUUUGUUGGAAUGCGAUUAAUCGCCAACAUCCACAAGAAGUUACGCACCCUUGGAGGAACUUUCAGACUCCAAAUUCUAUCAAAUGGGAAUCCAACAGCUUCCGUUCCACCAUAAGCCAGCAAUUGCGACAACUUUUUAACUGAGAAUACCCCUCCCUUGUCGUGAAUCCACACUAUACGAUCCUCUACCUCAUGUUGCUUAUAUGGAAAACCUUUCACUUUGGUCAAGUUUUAUGUUAUUAAUAAAAAUGUCUUGUAUGUUUAUUAUCAAUAUCUGUGGAUACGAUCCUACUUGUUGCUUCUAUUAAUUACUAUUUCUCUCUACUACAGUUAAUUGUUGGUUUAUUAUUGCUGGUUUGAGCUGUAGGGAAAUUAUGUACUAGCGUGGAUGACCAUUCUCUGCUUUGCAAUUUUGUUUCUGGUUUUCAUAUUCUACCAUAUAAUAUAUCAUUUGUACUGAACAAAAUAAAACUAAUCUUUCAAUUUUUCCCAAUCAUUUAUUUGCCCAUUUGGAGCGGUAAUCAUUUUAGUGUUUUUGAAUAUGAAAUAGGUGCACAGGAUCUUAAGGAUCAGGUUUUGAGACCAUCAGAAGACCAAACGAAGAACCGAGGCAAAGCGUAGCUGAAAAUGAAGAGUUUAGAGCCUUGGCACAACAAAUUGACACCCCUGCCUCAUCCAGCGCCCCAGCACAAGAAAGGAGUUACCUACGUUGGCACCCCAACUUCGAAUCGCCUCGUUCUGACUUGAAGUUCCAAGUUUUGGUAGUGUUCCAAGAGCAUUUUGGUCUUUUAUGGGUUUUAUGACCUAAAUCAAGUUUCUGUAGCCAAAUUUUGGUUGAAAAGAUAUUAUAAACACUCUGAUUGGAGAGGGAGUUAGGACUUUUGACCGUUUAGAGAUUAAAUAGCUUCUUUUUUUUUUUCAUUCAUUUGAUUUUAUGGCUUGCUAAACUCUCAUUUUUUUUAGUUUAAGGAUUUAAGUCUUCUUUAUUCUUUGACAUUCAUGCAUAUUUUGUUUUAAUUACAAUUGCUUUGAUUUUUUGAAUCUCUAUCCAGUAUUUGAUAGCUUAAAACGGUUGUCUUGUUAAUUAGAAUAGUUAAAUCCAUAAUUGUUCAAUUUAUUCAAAUAGUAGUGACGAAUUCAAUAGCUUGUUUAUAUUGUAUUUUACGUUUAUGUGGUGUGAAUAUUUGAUCUUAAAUGAAUCUUGCUGGGGUGAGUUUGUUGGUUAGAAGUAGGUCUCUCCUGUUCUUAAUGUUGUCGUUAAGUUAAAUCUUUGGCACUAAGUUAUAUGAUUAUUUAUCGGUUAGGAAAAUAUUUUCAAACGAGCUGUCUCUUGAUUACCGAACAGGCAAUGACAGAUUGGUUGCCCGACGCUGAGUCAACAACUAGAACUAAUUUACUAAAAGUGUUGAAGAUACAUUUGCGUUGAUAAUCGAAUUCAAAAAUCAAACAGAGAUUUACCUAUGGUCAGAACUUUUUCUCAUCGAUUUUUCCAAAACUUUUAAAUAUUUUUUCACUUUUAAGUUUAAUUGUUUAAUUUAAUUUCAAUUUUCUAUUUUAUAAAAAAAACUUUCUAAUUUAUUUUUAUUGUUUUUUUUAAAGAAAUAAAGUUAUUAUCAAUAUACGUGAAUAUGGACCUACUUGUUACUUCUACUAAUUACUCUUUUUUAUUUUUAUAGAUCUCGACUACAGUUAAUUGAAGGUUGAUUACUGGUUUGAGCGGUUGUGAAAUUAUGUACCAGUGUGGAUGACCUUUCUCUGCUUUGCAAUUUUGUUUCUGGUUUUCAUAUUCUUCCAUAUAAUAUAUAUUUUGUACUGAGCAAAAUAAAACUAAUCUUUCAAUUUUUUUCCAAUCAUUUAUUUGCCCAUUUGGCAGAGUAGUCAUUUCAGUUUAUUUAUUUUCAUAUCAGAAAUCAGGGUGUUUUUUUGGAACUUCAAAAAUCAAAAUUCAGUUAUUUUCAUGUCAUGUCAUUGACACAUAAUUUUAGUAAUUUUUUUAGUCUAAACUCUGAACUUUGAAACUGAACCUCGAACCAUUAACCAUUAACUAUGAGGUUCAAGAUUUAGGUUUGGGGUUUGAGACUUAAGUUUAGAGUUCGAGAUUUGGGUUCAGGGUUCGAGGUUUGGGUUAUGAGUUUGGGGUUCAAGAUAAAAAAAUUACAAUAAUUAUUAUGUGUCAAUGACAUAAAAAAAUUACUGACAUGUCAUUAAAUAAUUAGAAAUGGAUUACAAAAUAAUUUGUUAUGACAUGCAAAUUAUUUUGUUUGAUACAAUUUUUUUAUUGCUUUAAUAUAUGGCAUGAAUUAUUUGAAUAGAAAUUAAUAUAUUUUUUUUAAUUUUUAAUUUAUUUUAGAGUUUACUAUAGAAGAGGAUUAACCAAAUUUGCGUAUAUGACUAUCUUAAUAGGGUAAUUUACCAUAGGAAAGUUGGAUAUACAUUUGAAUGUAUCAUCAAAUAGAAAAGAGGUUUAACAAGUUCCCAUUCUCAGAGAAGAGGAGUAAGGAAAUCACAUACAAGAUUGCGAUAUGAGAGAGUAAAAAAGAGAUGCGAAUAUAGCCAAAACAAUAGAUGUGGGGAAUGGAAUCCCAAAGUAGAAGCUGGCAGCUGGGAUCCAAGUUUAUUGUCAUUCUUGGUUAAGCUAUUGCAGUGUUUGGGCGAUAAUCACUCCUUCCAUUGAUUACUGGUUUGAGCUGCUGUGAAAUUGUGUGGAUGAUGAUGACCUUUCUCGGCUUUGCAUUUUUUGUCUUAAUAUUCUUCCUUAUAAUAUAUAUAUUUUUUAUGGAAAAAAAAAA
This 29152-nucleotide long non-coding RNA is filed under the name Gossypium raimondii (Peruvian cotton). RNAcentral's name for it is "long non-coding RNA (GRAI_LNC003363)". Lineage: Eukaryota; Viridiplantae; Streptophyta; Magnoliopsida; Malvales; Malvaceae. The record is from RNAcentral.